UGGCGGCCGCGGGAAUUCCAUUUUGGAGGGCAAGUCUGGUGCCAGCCCACUAAAAAAUUCCAGCUCCAAUAGCGUAUAUUAAAGGUGUUGCAGUUAAAAAGCUCGUAGUUGAAUUUCGGGAUCAGUACGUCGGUCAUGCCUUCGGUAUGUACUGGUGUCACUGAUUCCUUCCUUCUGAUGAACCGUUAUGCCAUUUAGUUGGUGUGGUGGGAGAUCAGGACUGUUACUUUGAAAAAAUUAGAGUGUUUAAAGCAGGCUCGCGCUUGAAUACAUUAGCAUGGAAUAAAAAAAUAGGACGUUUGAUCCUAUUUUGUUGGUUUCUAGGAUCUACGUAAUGAUUAAUAGGGAUAGUUGGGGGCAUUAGUAUUCAAUUGUCAGAGGUGAAAUUCUUGGAUUUAUUGAAGACUAACUACUGCGAAAGCAUUUGCCAAGGAUGUUUUCAUUAAUCAAGAACGAAAGUUAGGGGAUCGAAGACGAUCAGAUACCGUCGUAGUCUUAACCAUAAACUAUGCCGACUAGGGAUCGGAUGAUGUUAAUUCUUUAAUGACUCAUUCGGCGCCUUACGGGAAACA
RNAcentral lists this ribosomal RNA (572 nucleotides) under uncultured Glomeromycotina. RNAcentral describes it as "bacterial SSU rRNA". It matches the Rfam family "Eukaryotic small subunit ribosomal RNA", at positions 521 to 1099 of the family's 1831-position model. Lineage: Eukaryota; Fungi; Glomeromycota. The record is from RNAcentral.